AAGAUAUAGCAUAUUCUUCUGAAAUAUACUUUAUAUACCCAUUCCGAGUACCUUACCCUGUUGCUUCCGCGAGGCUGUCCUCACGGCCCUCUGAAGAUUUAUCUUAGGGGAGUCCUUGCGGAAGGUAUACAAUAACUCUUGCAUUACCAUGUCAUCUGUCUGAAUCUGUUUAAAACAAAUAUUA
Molecule: unclassified non-coding RNA, 184 nt
Filed under: soil metagenome
Description: partial internal transcribed spacer 1
Source: RNAcentral